RNAcentral lists this ribosomal RNA (373 nucleotides) under uncultured bacterium. Its description in RNAcentral is "bacterial SSU rRNA". It matches the Rfam family "Bacterial small subunit ribosomal RNA", at positions 521 to 896 of the family's 1533-position model. The record is from RNAcentral.
UAAUACGGAGGGUGCAAGCGUUAUCCGGAUUUAUUGGGUUUAAAGGGUCCGUAGGCGGACUUGUAAGUCAGUGGUGAAAUCUCAUAGCUUAACUAUGAAACUGCCAUUGAUACUGCAGGUCUUGAGUAAAUUUGAAGUGGCUGGAAUAAGUAGUGUAGCGGUGAAAUGCAUAGAUAUUACUUAGAACACCAAUUGCGAAGGCAGGUCACUAAGAUUUAACUGACGCUGAUGGACGAAAGCGUGGGGAGCGAACAGGAUUAGAUACCCUGGUAGUCCACGCCGUAAACGAUGCUAACUCGUUUUUGGAUUUUCGGAUUCAGAGACCAAGCGAAAGUGAUAAGUUAGCCACCUGGGGAGUACGUCCGCAAGGAUG